This 468-nucleotide ribosomal RNA is filed under the name uncultured bacterium. RNAcentral describes it as "partial 16S ribosomal RNA". It matches the Rfam family "Bacterial small subunit ribosomal RNA", at positions 28 to 507 of the family's 1533-position model. The record is from RNAcentral.
GACGAACGCUGGCGGCGUGCUUAAUACAUGCAAGUCGAACGGAAAGGCCCUGCUCUUGCUGGGUGCUCGAGUGGCGAACGGGUGAGUAACACGUGAGUAACCUGCCCUUGACUUUGUGAUAACUUUAGGAAACUGGGGCUCUUAUCCGAUAUGAGCUCCUGCUGCGUGGUGGGGGUUGGAAAGUUUCGGCGGUUGGGGAUGGACUCGCGGCUUAUCCGCUUGUUGGUGGGGUAGGGGCUUACCAAGGCUUUGACGGGUAGCCGGCCUGAGAGGGUGACCGGCCACAUUGGGACUGAGAUACGGCCCAGACUCCUACGGGACGCAGAAGUGGGGAAUAUUGCACAAUGGGCGGAAGCCUGAUGCAGCGACGCCGCGUGCGGGAUGACGGCCUUCGGGUUGUAAACCGCUUUCGCCUGUGACGAAGCGUGAGUGACGGUAAUGGGUAAAGAAGCACCGGCUAACUACGUG